CAAUGACACAGUUUAAUACAACUCAAAUAUUUAUAUAAGUAUUUAGUCUCCCACACACUAAACAGGAUGAGACACAUUAUUAAAUAUGGGGGAAAUUCUUAGAUUAACUGCAUCUCAUUUCUACACAAUAGAAGUAUAUGGAAAAGAGUUUUCCAUGUAAUAUAACUGCAGAUUUCAAAUCCCUAUUAUUACUAUGACUGUAUGCUUUUGCGAUACAUUGUUAACAUGCUGGUAAUGUCAUAAGUACUUUUAGCAUUUGAUCAAUAAGGGCUUUUCAUUGCAAUUUAAUUACAAUUGAAAUACAUCAUCAUAGAAUUCCUUAACAAGAACUGCCAGAAAUCUCUGCUUGGUUUGGAAUUUGAAUCCUUCAUGACAUUUUCAGUGCUGAACAGUUUGUUUUAUUUUAUUUUAUUUACAACCAGAAAAGUUACACUUUUUAAAGUCUCUCUGUCUACAACCAUAGACUAUAACCUUUAUGUACAUGCAUAGUUAGUUCCUUUUUCGUUCUCAUGAACCACAUGAAACAAUACAAACUUUCAACCCUUUAUCCGGAUUGUCUCAAAGACAAGCGACUUGCUGCAAUUCUUUUGAAAAGGCAAAAAUGUUAAGAGCUCAAUUAAAAACCUUAACACUACGUAGUAUCUACAUAUUAUUUCUAUUAUUUCAUAAUUUCUCUGUGCAACCCUCAGACUUAAAAACUCUAUUCAAAACUUCAACAAAUUCAGUGAAGAAGGAAGGCGAAAGGCACGGUCAGUACAACAACAACAACAACAACAACAAAAAACUGUAUAUACAGCAGUUUCAUCAAAACUGCAUUAAAAACAUUCUCACAAAGUUACUGCUGGUGAAGUUUUGGACACAACAGAAAAAUCACAACGAUAUAUAAUUACGCGUCAUUGACUUAAGAAAAUCAGGAAAUAAAACGUGUCGUGCUAUUUACCUGCAUGUAGAUCAGAAAAACAAAACAAUGGAAAUGCAGACUCGAAAUCCUUACCUCAUAGACGAUGGCUCUGCUUAUUGCUCUAGAAUGAAUGAAUGAAUGAAUAAAGCCAAAUUGUGAUCAUUUAUUUUGGUUUGUUUCAAUAAGGAACCUCCACUUUUCUCUCUCUUUCUUGAAGUUAAUGAUAAAAACAAAAACAAACCAAAAAAAAACAAAAAAAAAACACCACCACUCCAGAGCUUGUCAUGUUACCGGGAAACCGUCUUGAAGACUUUUCACCGAC
This is a long non-coding RNA of Ictalurus punctatus (channel catfish), 1223 nucleotides long. The record is from Ensembl. NCBI's taxonomy places the organism in Eukaryota, Metazoa, Chordata, Actinopteri, Siluriformes, Ictaluridae.